ACGCGUUAGCUCAGUUGGUAGAGCAACUUUCCUGUAAGUGGAAGGUCACCAGUUCGAUUCUUGUUCACGGCGUG
RNAcentral lists this transfer RNA (74 nucleotides) under Fasciola gigantica. RNAcentral's name for it is "tRNA-Thr". Lineage: Eukaryota; Metazoa; Platyhelminthes; Trematoda; Plagiorchiida; Fasciolidae. The record is from RNAcentral.